This 310-nucleotide long non-coding RNA is filed under the name Nicotiana benthamiana. RNAcentral describes it as "long non-coding RNA (NBEN_LNC003179)". The record is from RNAcentral. Lineage: Eukaryota; Viridiplantae; Streptophyta; Magnoliopsida; Solanales; Solanaceae.
GAUAGUUGUUGAUCUAAGCAGGAGGGGUCGAAGCCAGGCUCAAAACAAAUAUGGCUUGCCGGAGCAAGGACGGAGAUGGCCAUAAAAUUGAACCAACGAGAUCAGGGUGAAACUUAUUUGUGGUCGGACCAUGAAACCUCAGCAAACAAGAGCAUAUGCACCAUGGGAGGUUGAUAGGUGGUGAGACCGCCAUAGAUUCAAGCGAGGAGAUGGCCGGAGAAAGUAAUGAAACUCAUCGGAGAGGAGGGAAAAGGGAAGGUUAUAGAGAGAACCAGAGAUAGAGAGAUAAAGAGAUAGAGAGAGAGUCGGU